ACCCUGUAGAUCCGAAUUUGUCUUGGCUUUGGCUACAAAUUCGGUUCUAGAGAGGUU
RNAcentral lists this microRNA precursor (57 nucleotides) under Limulus polyphemus (Atlantic horseshoe crab). RNAcentral describes it as "Lpo-Mir-10-P1l-v1_pre stem-loop". The record is from RNAcentral. Lineage: Eukaryota; Metazoa; Arthropoda; Merostomata; Xiphosura; Limulidae.